RNAcentral lists this unclassified non-coding RNA (336 nucleotides) under soil metagenome. Its description in RNAcentral is "partial contains 5.8S ribosomal RNA, internal transcribed spacer 2, and large subunit ribosomal RNA". The stretch from base 1 to 120 matches the Rfam family "5.8S ribosomal RNA", at positions 35 to 154 of the family's 154-position model. The record is from RNAcentral.
GAUGAAGAACGUAGCGAAAUGCGAUACGUAAUGUGAAUUGCAGAAUUCAGUGAAUCAUCGAAUCUUUGAACGCACAUUGCGCCCGCCAGUAUUCUGGCGGGCAUGCCUGUUCGAGCGUCAUUUCAACCAUCAAGCCCCAGGCUUGUGUUGGGGACCUGCGGCUGCCGCAGGCCCUGAAAACCAGUGGCGGGCUCGCUGUCACACCGGGCGUAGUAGAUUUUAUCUCGCUCAGGGCGUGCUGCGGGUUCCGGCCGUUAAAAAGCCUUUUUUACCCAAGGUUGACCUCGGAUCAGGUAGGAAGACCCGCUGAACUUAAGCAUAUCAAUAAGCGGAGGA